CCUACGGGAGGCUGCAGUGAGGAAUAUUGGUCAAUGGACGAGAGUCUGAACCAGCCAAGUAGCGUGAAGGAUGACUGCCCUAUGGGUUGUAAACUUCUUUUAUAAAGGAAUAAAACGAGGCACGUGUGCCUUUUUGCAUGUACUUUAUGAAUAAGGAUCGGCUAACUCCGUGCCAGCAGCCGCGGUAAUACGGAGGAUCCGAGCGUUAUCCGGAUUUAUUGGGUUUAAAGGGAGCGUAGAUGGGUUGUUAAGUCAGUUGUGAAAGUUUGCGGCUCAACCGUAAAAUUGCAAUUGAUACUGGCAGUCUUGAGUACAGUUGAGGUAGGCGGAAUUCGUGGUGUAGCGGUGGAAUGCUUAGAUAUCACGAAGAACCCCGAUUGCGAAGGCAGCUUACUAAACUGUGACUGACAUUGAUGCUCGAAAGUGUGGGUAUCAAACAGGAGUAGAUACCCUUGUAGUC
This 460-nucleotide ribosomal RNA is filed under the name uncultured bacterium. RNAcentral's name for it is "partial 16S ribosomal RNA". It matches the Rfam family "Bacterial small subunit ribosomal RNA", at positions 338 to 795 of the family's 1533-position model. The record is from RNAcentral.